Molecule: long non-coding RNA, 809 nt
Organism: Panthera uncia (snow leopard)
Lineage: Eukaryota; Metazoa; Chordata; Mammalia; Carnivora; Felidae
Exons: 2
Source: RefSeq, a predicted model, not a curated record
GGGGGGGGUAAGGAGGGCGGGGGAGCUGACUGUCAGCCAAUGGCCUAGCCGCUGGUGAGGCCAGACGCUGAGUCCCACGGGGAUUGAAUUAUAUACACACGCCUACACACACACACACACACACACACUUCUCUACCUCCUCACCAGGGAGGGGGGCGGGAAGAAUGAACGCGGCCCCGCCCGGCUCAAGUCCACGCACCCGCCACCUGCUUCUCCUGGAGGAGACCCGUGGAUUGCAAUCCAGGGCAAACCCAAGGUCGGUAGGCAACACGUGGAAAUAGGCGUGACCCCCAAGGCCAGGGGCGCUGAGUACUUUUGCUCUCAGGGAACAUUGCUGGAGGGCCAGGCAAUUCUUGGAUAUCAAAUCACUGACCUCCACUGAGUGCUCAUUUCUUGCUCAGCAGUAACGGGCCCUCAAGGACCCAGGGGGAGGAAGAAGAUUCCUUUACUAGGAGACGCUGUGAUGAGCCAGAUGCCCUUUACCCAUGUCACCUGUACACGCUCCCAGUAAACCCGUGAAGGUGUUGUGCCCAAUUUACAGAUGAAGCUACCGAAACUUGGAGAGACUAGGUAUUUGAAUCAAGAGAUCUGUGGGGCGCCUGGGGGGGCUCAGUCAGCUAAGCGGAGACUUCGGCUCAGGUCAUGAUCUCAACAGUUCGUGAGUUGCAGCCCCGCGUCGGGCACUGUGCUGACAGCUCGGAGCCUGAAGCCUGCUUCGGAUUCUGUGUCUCCGUCUCUGCCCCUUCCCUGCUCAUGCUCUGUCUCUCUCUGUCUCUCAAAAGCGAAUAAACGUUAAAAAAAAAAAAAAA